Molecule: ribosomal RNA, 433 nt
Filed under: uncultured bacterium
Lineage: Bacteria
Description: partial 16S ribosomal RNA
Rfam family: Bacterial small subunit ribosomal RNA
Source: RNAcentral
AACGAACGCUGGCGGCAUGCCUAACACAUGCAAGUCGAACGAGACCUUCGGGUCUAGUGGCGCACGGGUCCGUAACGCGUGGGAACAUGCCCUUAGGUUCGGAAUAACUCCCCGAAUGGGGUGCUAAUACCGGCUCAUGUCCUCCAACCAAAGUUUUAUCGCCUUUGGUUGGGCCCGCGUGGUCUUAGCUUGUUGUUAGGGUAAAAGCCUACCACGGCAAGGUUACAUAGAUGGGCUGCGAGGAAGAGCACCGACACUGGGGCUGAGACACGGUCGAGACUCUUACGGGAGGCGGGAGUGGGUAAUACAGCACAAUCGGGGAAGUGCUGAACCACCUAUGCCUCUAGAGUGAUGAAGGCCUGAGGGAAGUAAAGCACGUUUACCCGGGAUGAUAAUGACAGUACCGGGAGAAUAAGCACCGGCUAACUCCGUG